Molecule: ribosomal RNA, 445 nt
Filed under: uncultured bacterium
Lineage: Bacteria
Description: SSU rRNA
Rfam family: Bacterial small subunit ribosomal RNA
Source: RNAcentral
AGAACGAACGCUGGCGGCAUGCCUAACACAUGCAAGUCGAACGAGACCUUCGGGUCUAGUGGCGCACGGGUGCGUAACGCGUGGGAAUCUGCCCUUCGGUUCGGAAUAACAGUUAGAAAUGACUGCUAAUACCGGAUAAUGACGUAAGUCCAAAGAUUUAUCGCCGAGGGAUGAGCCCGCGUAGGAUUAGCUUGUUGGUGGGGUAAUGGCCCACCAAGGCGACGAUCCUUAGCUGGUCUGAGAGGAUGAUCAGCCACACUGGGACUGAGACACGGCCCAGACUCCUACGGGAGGCAGCAGUGGGGAAUAUUGGACAAUGGGCGAAAGCCUGAUCCAGCAAUGCCGCGUGAGUGAUGAAGGCCUUAGGGUUGUAAAGCUUCUUUACCAGGGAUGAUAAUGACAGUACCUGGAGAAUAGCUCCGGCUAACUCCGCGCCAGCAGCCGC